GUUUUUACAAAUACUCAUAAAAAUCAGAAUGAUGCAGAGAAGGUUAGUGUGACCCCUGCACAUAAAAAGCUUGCAAAUUCAUGAAGUUUUCAUAUUUUUU
Molecule: small nuclear RNA, 100 nt
Filed under: Meriones unguiculatus (Mongolian gerbil)
Lineage: Eukaryota; Metazoa; Chordata; Mammalia; Rodentia; Muridae
Source: RNAcentral